CCUCCAAAACGAAGCCCUGUGUGCUCUCAAGGUCCCGCCGGAACUCUCUCUUCGGAGCGCCCUUCUGAAGGGGGACGUUUUCACCCACGUCAUCGCCCUGAGACAGCUUCAGCCUGUCCCUCCCCUCCCCCCACCGCCGCCUGCCUCCCUCCUGCUCCUCUUCCUCUUCCUCUUCCUCCUCCUCUGAACUCUUGAGCUUCUCCUCUCACUGGCCUCUCAUCCCACACGGUGGCAGUGUCGGCCUAGGACACUUCGAGAAGCAGCAAGAGUGCCAGUUUGUGAGAACCGAAGGCCAAACCGGCGUGAUGUAACCCGGCGAUGUGUGUCGUCAGAGGCCCAUCUAGAUUCGCACUCCAGUUCACGGAGGGGAGCAGUGGGAACAGGAGUGUGGACCCUUCCCACUCCCCCAGUGAACAUCUGUCCCGUGGAAGGGGUAUAGGAACCUCAUGACCUGACCCACGUGGUGAACAGUCACCAAAGACAAAGAAUUCCUACAGCCAGACGUUUGCAACCACGAACCCUGUCCCUCCAUCACCUGACCUUUCAGAAUGCUACGUGGAACCCUUUCAAGAAGCUUGGGGCAGGAAAAAAAAAAAAAAAACAAAAACAAAAAAACAAGAAGAAGCAGAAGAAGCAGCAGCAGCAGCAGCAGCUGGGGGCUUGGAGGUAUGGACCCCUGAAUUCUCCUCGCUCGGCCCUCCCUGCAAGAAAACGUUGUGUGCUUGCCUGCGCCCCACAUGCCAACUUUUCGGGGGAUCGGACCUCCCAGGGUGCCCCUGCACCAGGCACCCUGCCUGCGUGCGACAUCCCAAGAGAUCCUAUGGAGAAACAUCUCCGGCCACUCGCAUGACAUCUGCAUCGCUGGCGAGUGACCCUUCAGACCUCCACAUAGAUACGUGAGCACAAACGCUCCUUCACAAUCUGGGACACCUCGUAGGCUCUGUGAGCUCCUCUGGUUCAGCACUCCCUCGACUUGGCUGUGGUUUUGGUUCUGUUCUGCUCUGUUCUGGGUUUGCUUUCGGACCCGCGUGAUCUCUCUGGAUAGGGCACCCCCAAUCAAAGCGAAAAUAAAUCGAGUCUGUGUAAAUACUA
Long non-coding RNA from Cervus elaphus (red deer), 1092 nucleotides. RefSeq lists it as uncharacterized. The transcript has 2 exons. The record is from RefSeq and is a predicted model, not a curated record. Lineage: Eukaryota; Metazoa; Chordata; Mammalia; Artiodactyla; Cervidae.